AUAACUUUCCUUUAGACCUAGCUGCUAUCGAAGCUCCAACAAAUGGAUAAGACUUAUUCUUAGUGUAUUGUUGUGAAAAUGGAAUAAUUGAAAAGAAAAGAUUAAGGAACAAUAAACCCUUUUACUUGGUCCUUAAUCUUUUCUUUUCAAUUUUUUAGUGUACUAAAUUGUAUAGUUUAUUUUCAUUCCAGAAAAAUAACGAAAAAACAUUUUUUCAUUAUGUAGAAUUUUUUUUAUCUUUAAAAGAUAUUAUUAUCUUAGAAAGAAGUUAUUUGCCUGUGUUAUAUUAUAUAACACACUGUAAGUAAGAUGAUUUUGAAUUUAAAAUAUUUAAAAGUCUAUUGUMCAAUGAAUUAAAUUAAUCAUAAUCAUAGAGGGGCGGAUG
RNAcentral lists this unclassified non-coding RNA (385 nucleotides) under Euphrasia bella. RNAcentral describes it as "partial miscellaneous RNA". Lineage: Eukaryota; Viridiplantae; Streptophyta; Magnoliopsida; Lamiales; Orobanchaceae. The record is from RNAcentral.